Molecule: ribosomal RNA, 37 nt
Filed under: Cape St. Paul wilt phytoplasma
Lineage: Bacteria; Bacillati; Mycoplasmatota; Mollicutes; Acholeplasmatales; Acholeplasmataceae
Description: partial 23S ribosomal RNA
Source: RNAcentral
GAAGGAAAUAAGGGCGUACAGUGGAUGCCUUGGCACU